GGGCUUUCAAUUCGCAAGCACCUCACCUAUAUGUAGCGUGCUGGCUUGCCAGCUAUGGCGAUAAACGGCGCACUUAGUAGGUUUUGCGGACCCGGGGGCGGUACCCGGCGCCUCCACCAGGAGGAGUUCUCACAGCGUUUUUUCCCGUGCAGGCGGGGACUUCUGCUGAUGGGGGCGAAAUAGGAUCGACGUGGAUUGAAGGGUGUUUUGCUUUUCGCUCGGGAUGGUACCGCCGUGAUGGGCCAAACUUGAUAAAUGCCAACGACAACGACGUCGAGUUCGCUCUGGCUGCGUAAGCAGCUCGCGUGAACUGCAUUUAAAUUCCGGGGGGUUGACGCCUCGCGGUGGGGUCUGGUCCACCUAGCAACAGAACGGACCACU
Molecule: transfer-messenger RNA, 381 nt
Filed under: Gimibacter soli
Lineage: Bacteria; Pseudomonadati; Pseudomonadota; Alphaproteobacteria; Kordiimonadales; Temperatibacteraceae
Description: Kordiimonadaceae bacterium 6D33 transfer-messenger RNA
Rfam family: Alphaproteobacteria transfer-messenger RNA
About the family: Bacterial tmRNA, also known as 10Sa RNA or SsrA, is named for its dual tRNA and mRNA-like properties.
Source: RNAcentral